Long non-coding RNA from Triticum aestivum (bread wheat), 5621 nucleotides. RefSeq lists it as uncharacterized. Lineage: Eukaryota; Viridiplantae; Streptophyta; Magnoliopsida; Poales; Poaceae. The transcript has 10 exons. The record is from RefSeq and is a predicted model, not a curated record.
UUGAAUAAGCUCUUAUGAAAACUAAAAGAGAAAAAAUAUUGCAAGUCAUUGCGUCUCUCCUUCAGAGGACGAUUGUGCAUUCAUGCUCUAGGAUUUUUAUUACUGAGCUCAAGGUUGUGAACUAUUUAUUUCCAUUUCUUUGGUAGUGAUAUUUGGUUAAACUGGAGAUCCUAGCUAUAGAACAUCAACAGUGUAAAGUAUAUGCAUUGCUGCUCAGAGGUUCUGUAGAUACAUCUUUACUGAUUUUUCAUUUUUAUCAUGUAUGCUUCAAUUCUUGCAUGCCAAAUAAACAUAAGUUCAUGUUUUAUUGUUUAGUUGUCUCAUGUUCGCUCUUCAUUAUUCUAUAUCAAAGUGAUGUCGUUCAAUGCGUUUGUCCCUUUCUGAUGUAGAAAUUGAUUUCCAUGAGGCAUGAACUCAAGGUGCAACAAUAUCAUUCUUCCUGGUGUUGCAUUAAAUAUACCUCUUAUUUGUUAAAAAAAUCCUCUGGAUUUGGGAUUAGUAUAUUAGGUAGACAUCUUUUGGUUAACGGCAGAUUUGAGCGCAGGGUAGAAUUCUUGGUUGAUUCUAGAAUUUCUUUGUAGAUUAGCUAGCAGAUUAGAACGUCUUUGGCAAGUUCUUUGUUGGUUAGGUCCAGCUCCCUUGGCACUGGACCCAGCAGACGCGUGUGCGUGUGCGGAUCUCCCAUGCAUCCACUGCACCACUUGUUGUUGGGUGGCAGUGGGGUAUCCAAGCGUGUGGAAGGCCUAUCCGCCAUGGCGGCGCAGCUUGGCUCCAAGGAGAGCAGUUCCAAGGCCCAACUAACAGGCUACCACAAUUCCUAGCCCAAUCGCGGACUAUAAUUAAAUUGCUUUAUUGAUCAAUCUAUCAGUUAAUCAUAGGCUACAACUAACCAGUGUAGUUUGGAUGUGCAGCACCAGAGACCAUUUGAUUGAAUUGGUGGUACAGUAAUACUAGCCUAAUACAAUUAUCAGAUCCUUUUGUCCUGUCAAGCAGAUGGACUUUUGUCCUGUCAAGCAGAUGGUUAAUUACUGGACAAGUAGAGCAUUGCAUUUUCUGUGUGCAAUCCACACUGACAAGCCUGCAGAGGCUACUUCAAGUCAAGCGGCUUUAGAAUUUCUUUACUAUGUGUACUCAUGUAGUAUUUAGGUUAGAAUAGUAUCAGAUUUGAUUGGUCCCUCAGUUCAUAACAGACAUUGACUGGUUACUUCUUUCUGGCUUUAACUUUGAAGCCUAAAUAACCACCUUUUGCUACUUAAUUGCGCUUGUAGUCAUUUGUGAUUCUCAGUUCAUGAAUAAUAUAUGUUGACAAGACAUAAAUUCAGAACUUCUGGCACAUAUGUACUUUAAUAUACUUGCACGCUUUAAUUUUGUCAUUGAAAUUGUUUCUUUGUUCUUCCAGGUUUUGGGUAGCCAAUCAAGUCAUGUAAUACUUUAUUGUACCAUUCCUUUUGAUGUUAGAUGUACAACAGUUUUAUGCUCAAAUAAAGAUAUAUAUGCAUACAAAUUAGUUGCUGGUUAUUCCUCCAUGAUAUAGUUUUCCAGUUAAAUGUAGUCUUGCGCUUGUGUGAUUGAAAACUAAGAAUGGAAAGGUGAAGCUGCACAUCAAACUAGAGUACAUGCAUAUGUGCAUACACUCUGCCCCUCCUCUGUUUCCAUUACUUUGAGCUACAGGAAAGGGAAAUUACAGCUAGAUGAAGUAGCAUAUGGGAGUAGCACUCACCUCUCCCUGUGAGGUUGCAUCGAGCUCUAAACUUCAAGUGAGUCUUCACGAGCUUGUGCUGUAUCUUGGGGUACUAGCAGAUCGCCUCUGCACGCGAUGCUGUUCAGCGGGGAACAACGGCAUGGAGCAGCUGCCACAACUUAUUUGGCGUGUCGGACGCAAGCGGUGCUACCUGCAAUAGCUCUCGCCUUGCCGACGGCGAUGGCCUUAGACGGCAGACCGCAUCUCACCUUGUGUGAGUCGCCUCUGAGCUCGAACUGAGGGGAACAUAGGCAUGGGAGCAGCUGCCACAACUUAGGCCCGGGCUUGGACGCACCGGAUGCGGGCCGUGCUACCCGCAAGGGAUCCCUACUUGCCGCCAGUGACGGCGAUGGCCCCGGACGGCGGACUGGCAUCUCACCGUCUCACUUUGUGGGAAACGCCUCAUUGAGGUCGAACUGAGGCAGCUAGAGGAGUCCAGGAGAUAAGGUAAGGGAAUGGAAAGAAAAAAUAAAAUAUGCCGUUUCAGUGGUGGGGCUGACCAGAACACGUAUUGGUCGCGUUUAGCCCUGCAGGAUAGCGCGUGCUGGGGGUAAAACAUGCAUAAUCCUAACUUGCUUACUCCGUUGCAACUCUUAUGACACGAAUUACUUGAUUACACCUGCCUGGCUGGUUCAAUUUUGGUAUUAUAUUUGCCCCCGCUUGCUUUGAUCUAGAUUCACUUUGUUGAUAUUGAAUUGGUCUUAAUGUUAACAUCAACAAUGGUUAUUCGAGUUUCAUAUUACUUUAGACAUAAUGUGCUUCAACUACGGCAUUUUGUAUUUUCCUUUUAAAUUUAUAUGGAACAUCGGAAACCCAGCCAUGGCGGCAGUGGCGUAGUACUUCACCUAACUCCCCUACGCCAUGUCUCAGCAAAACAAAGCGGAUGGAUCCGUGAUCCACAUUGAACAUAUAAACCCUGCUGGGGUGCUAGGCAGACUCGCGCUAUCCACGUAGGCUGUGAAUAGUUCAGCGACGCGAGACUCGGCGGUAGCGAGCGAAAGAAAAAGCAGCGAAGGCGGCAGCGAGCGAAAGAAAAAGGCAGCCCGCGUAACCCUAGCCGCCGCCCCCUCCUCCUCCUCCCACCUCACCCCUCCCCCCAGGGCGCCUCCUCCCCCUAGCCGCCGCCCCCUCCUCCUCCUCCCACCUCUGCCCCCCCGCAUCUCGUCUGCCCCGGGUGCGGAGGCGAGCUUCCCGACAACGGCGGCGACUUCGAUCUGCAGGAGAGAGAGGGAUGUGCGCCGGCGUCGGUUUCCCCAACCCCACAGCCGUCGCACGCCGCGCCACUCCGCGCCCCCUCUUUGCUCCACCACGCAGCUUCCUCCUCCCUGCUCACCUCCGGCGCAGCUCGUCGUAGUGGAGAGCAUGAGCGGCAUGGUCUUCAUGGUGGGGUGGAGCUGCAGUGGAGGGAAGGAUGCUUGACGGAUCCGGCGCGUGCAGGCUGAAGCGGCAGGAGUUGGUGGAUACGGCCGAUGCGGACGGGGUCGUUGACGGGGGCUGGGAGCUCGAGUUGGUUCACGGUUUGCCUUUCCAUCCUCCCUGCCUCACUCAUGCCUCCCCCUUUUUUCAUUGACGACGGCUUUGGCUGCAGGGGCGCCAUGAGGAGUGGAAGGCCGAGGUCGUUCGACGGGUGGAGCAGCAGGAGCAAUGAGCCAAUGGUGGUCAAUGGCUAACCUCUACCUCCUCUCUCUCUGUGGUUAAGAAGGCCAAAUAGAAGAAGCAAAGGAAUGGCGCAAAAGUCUUGCUGAGGUGCCCCCUCCAAGGCCCAGAUUCUUCUGAGGUGACCCUAUUGCUCCCCUCAAACCUAGCACCUUCGAUGCUGUGUCAUCAUCAAUUUUGAUACAUACAGUUCUGGAAGCUUUAGGAUUGGUCAUUGCUUAUAACUGUUGUGGGUAACAUGACCUUGUUUACUCCCUACAAUCUUCAUUCACACGUCUUUGAUGUUUAUUUUGCUAUUAGAUGAUGAAAAUCUAAAGAACGGACACACAACCAGAAGUUUACAUAUUUUGUUUGCUGGUAAUGUGUCAUCGUCAUCUUUGUUAGCCAGACUUGUCGGUUGUCCUACUUAAUUCCCACCUUAUCACGUUGCUCUUGAUUUUUAAUCAUGCUUGGAGCUUUGGUCUGCAGCUAUACAAAAUCAUAUGCUUUGGCUCUAGAUUAGGGUAAUGUUGGAACUUGGGAGGGAGUAACUAAGCCAUACAUUUGGCUCUAGGAUUUUCAGUUUGUAUUUGCCGGAUGUAGAAACAGCUUUCUAUGAGAUAACGAGUUGACGACACACCACAUUCGGUUGACUGUUGAGGCGUAAAUGGCACCCGAGUGCUGUAGUAUGCAGUAGCGACCGGCGAGGCAUCAGGAUGUGGCGAGGCAAGGCUGUGGAGUUCAUGAGUUUUCAGGCUGCACGGGAUGCAAGUUAAUGGAUCUGCAGAUUAGAACGUACAAAUGACUGGUGCAUAAGCUCCUUCGACUAUUUGAUUAAAGAGAAGGCAUGGGUUGACGCUACCAAUAUAUGUGUUGGCUACAGAGGCAUAGAAAUAAUAAUCGAUGCCCAAUUCCGUCUCUGCAUUUAAAGGAUGACUGCUUCAUAGCAGGCUUGCCUUGUGAUCAAACCUGACGAUGUGCAGCAUGGUGUGGGCACUGCCAUGGCAUGGCGAGGCACCCGCAAGGCACCACUUGCUUCCAUUCUGAGGUGGAUUAGCGCUCGGAUAGUCACGCGGAUCUCCAAACCAGCACCCUCCCACGGCGCAGUUCCACCGUGUUGACCGGCGCUUCCUACACCAUGGAUCAAAUAAACAGCCGCCUCAGCAUAGCCAUCCAGAAUGCUCUCCUGCCUCCGUUCCCCCUCAGAUUCUUAUAUAUCCACGAGGGGGACAUUUAUUAACAGAGGGUGUUACUCUUGGUGGCUGUAUUGAUCUCCCGUGCCACCAAUCUGACCGAUGGCUCCACUUCGACUUCGUCAACUCCACUGACUAUCUCGACUAUGUCAUACUGCAACCCCGAUGCCCACUGGUUAUGCAGUAACAUGCUUCUGAACACCAGGUUGCAACUCCAGCUUCGCAGACGAACUCGCUCAUUGCUCUAGAAGGUGCUUGGGCUUGUUUCUCUGACCGAUUGGCUGCGACAUCUCACAUGGAUCUUCACUGCCUCAUAGACCUAUUUUUUAUUCUCUCGUCAAUUCUACAUGUCUGCUCGUCCAUUGCAUGGUGCUAGAUGGUCCCUGUUUAGUUAAUCCAAGGUAAAUCAUAUGCAUAACCAUGGAAUGGCACAUACUGGCCUCAGGUUGUACAAAUUCAUCGCAAGGCCGGGUCAGUCCGAAAGUUCAAAGGGGAAAAAAUCCAUUUGAAAGCUGGAAAAUACAUUACUCGCUGCAAGCCUGGUGAGCAUUACGUAGAUGAGUUCGCUGCCCACUGUGUGUGUGGGAAAUACAGUUAAGUUGUAUAACAAAAAUAUUCGCAAUCUGUGAAAUAUCAUCAAAGACAAGAAAACACCUGACCAUUACUAUGUAUGCCACAUGACAGAAACAUUUUCUGCUGACGGCAAAAGAAUGUACUUUAGCACACACUUUUCUAAGAGAAGUCUCUUCCCGCACAUGGAUGCUGAUGAUGAGCUACCAAUCAGUGCAGGAGACGGGACCAUCAGUGUCAUGGCCCUCUUUAUCAUGGGCAUCGACAACAGGGCUACACUCACAAAGAACUGGAGCAGCUUCUUCCAUAAGGCAAACAUGAAGAAAGGAUGUGCAUAUGCUUUCGCCUUCAAGUGCGCGUCCAAGGGCCUCUGCAUGGUUGUCUAUCCAAUCUAAGCAGGUCACAAUAGUCCUUUGCUACAUAACUUGGUAUUACUAUAAGUACCGAUCGAGACUUAUAUCUGGCAUCAUUUUGGAUCUUAU